GCGGGCAUAGCUCAGUGGUAGAGCGUCUCGUUGCCAACGAGAAGGUCGUGGGUUCGAGUCCCAUUGCCCGCUCCA
RNAcentral lists this transfer RNA (75 nucleotides) under Pelagibacteraceae bacterium GOM-A3. RNAcentral's name for it is "tRNA-Gly". It matches the Rfam family "tRNA". From Rfam's summary of the family: Transfer RNA (tRNA) molecules are approximately 80 nucleotides in length. Their secondary structure includes four short double-helical elements and three loops (D, anti-codon, and T loops). The record is from RNAcentral. Lineage: Bacteria; Pseudomonadati; Pseudomonadota; Alphaproteobacteria; Candidatus Pelagibacterales; Candidatus Pelagibacteraceae. RNAcentral also lists the same sequence under 8 other names.